This 255-nucleotide ribosomal RNA is filed under the name uncultured bacterium. Its description in RNAcentral is "partial 16S ribosomal RNA". It matches the Rfam family "Bacterial small subunit ribosomal RNA", at positions 793 to 1055 of the family's 1533-position model. The record is from RNAcentral.
GUCCACGCCGUAAACUAUGGAUACUAGCUGUUCGUAGCAAUCUGAGUGGCUAAGCGAAAGUGAUAAGUAUCCCACCUGGGGAGUACGUUCGCAAGAAUGAAACUCAAAGGAAUUGACGGGGGCCCGCACAAGCGGUGGAGCAUGUGGUUUAAUUCGAUGAUACGCGAGGAACCUUACCAAGGCUUAAAUGUAGAUUGACAGGACUGGAAACAGUUUUUUCUUCGGACAAUUUACAAGGUGCUGCAUGGUUGUCGU